AUACACGCUAAGAACGGGAACAGUAAGCGAUAUUCGCCUGAACAGAGAGCUGCGGGGUGGUGCGACGCAGCAGGGGAAUCGACUGAAGCUCGCCCGGGAGCGGCGGAAUUGACGGAGCAUAACGAUGACGCGUAGAGCUCGAAGGCCCACGAGGCUGACGGCUGCCAACGGCUCAGUUUAUGACCCAGAUUCCGACGGAGCAGUCUCCGUGAUCAACGUUUCAAGCGGGAUCGGCCUUAUGACGGUAGUGCACGACUGUCAGGAGAGCAGAUCCAACAAGAGUGGUACCGCGGCAUUGGCCUAUAAGCCUGUCGUCUCUUAU
This 322-nucleotide non-coding RNA is filed under the name Paenibacillus sp. RNAcentral's name for it is "T-box sequence". It matches the Rfam family "T-box leader". From Rfam's summary of the family: Uncharged tRNA acts as the effector for transcription antitermination of genes in the T-box leader family. T-boxes are found upstream of many aminoacyl-tRNA synthetase genes and some amino acid biosynthetic genes usually in Gram-positive bacteria. The anticodon of a specific tRNA base pairs to a specifier sequence within the T-box motif, and the NCCA acceptor tail of the tRNA base pairs to a conserved bulge in the T-box antiterminator hairpin. The record is from RNAcentral. Lineage: Bacteria; Bacillati; Bacillota; Bacilli; Caryophanales; Paenibacillaceae.